CGCCACUUUGUAGUUUCCCUGAUGCUUUCCUUGGCACAAACGUCCGCCCUGUCGCCCGCUACGAAUCAGAUUUUUCCACGGAUCUUCGGUUUUUCAAAUAAAUUGAGAAAUACGAGGAAAGAAUGGCGCGUCUUCCAGAGUACACAGGAUCUUUUCCAUAACUCGACAGCUGCUACCGUGGAAGCGUAAAUCGUCUGCAAAAAUUGAAAAAUCUACGAGAACCGAGUAUCGAAGGUUGCGAAACUCCGAUCGUACAGGUAGAUUGGGAGACGAUGACGAAAAGGUGGCCAAGGAGCGAGAUUCGACGAAACUUUUAUUCGUGUUUGACAAGGCCGGAGAUAUCCGUUGGUAUAAUCCCGCGGGAUGACAAUAUUUUUAAUUCCAGGCAAGAUGUAACAGGAUCAGCGAGAGCGAAGUUUUAGGCUUGAGAAGACGAACCGUUUUGUUUCCUCCUCGAAUUCGCGGGUAAUACGUAAUCCUCUUAGAGACGUCAGGUAUCAAGGAGCACCUACAGCGGUAGGACACGUCGACGAUCCUUUUUACCGGAAACAAAUAUUUUAUUUCACAAGGUCCGUUCCAAUAGCGUUCGUCGAUUCGCGACGCGACUGUUACAGCCAUCGAAUCUUAGGAUAAUCGAAUUCAACGAACGAGAAAACCGAACUUUCGCCUACGUUAAGCUAUCCGCUCGAUAUCGGUUCGUAGCUUCGUUUUAUAAAAUCCUAACCCAAACCAAGCACGAUCCGACAUACACUGCCCUCGUAAGUCCACAAGUAUUAGGCGAUCAAAUGGAACUUGGAUGGAAAUAUAUUUUCUAUUUAUACGCAUAAGCGCGUCUCUAUCCGUAUAUUCUGCGCAUUUCUCGCACAUAUCGAAUUUAUUUAGGAAUUAGCUCGGUUGGUUAUCGUCGCUUACUAAAUUUCGUCAUCGUGGACUACGAACUAGAAUGCCACUGCUCUGUUCUUGUCACAUUUCUUGCCACCUUGUCGAUGGAAUAUGCGUGCACCAAAUACAGCAUCUACAGAGAUUUUUCAAUUGCCUUCUUGCAACAGAGUCGACCGCGCGUGGAACUCGUCGUACCGGUCCGUUUCGUAUCAGAUCCGCUGAAAUAUGAGAGCCUUUGAUCGGAGACCUAAUAGGUGUCCGCGACAAAUAGGUUCGAGCGAUUGCGGCACAUAUUAUACAAACAAAAAGCGACGAUCGAAGGAGAAGGCUGGAUAAAGAAGAGGUGUAGCAGAUAUAACAGCAGGAAGACGGUGCCGCCGGUAUACAGGAUAAUCGAUCGUCAUUAGCACCCUACGGACGUGUCCGUAUAGGUCCAAAGGCGCGGCAGCCAGCGUCGUUUGGCCGGCCAAAGGAUCGAGCUUGCUUUCGUCGGAUGAAAAGAACUGCACUCGUGGCUUUUCCGUGUCAAGAAAACAUUAAUAUAAAACGCGCGGCUGACAAAAUGAAGGAGACCCGUUCGACCACCCGGGCGCGUAACAAACGUCGAAAUUAAUAGCGCGCACUUAUCAAACUUGACAACUUAUUAUAAAAUGGUUGCUCGAUGAAA
This is a long non-coding RNA of Bombus huntii, 1549 nucleotides long. RefSeq lists it as uncharacterized. The transcript is spliced from 3 exons. Lineage: Eukaryota; Metazoa; Arthropoda; Insecta; Hymenoptera; Apidae. The record is from RefSeq and is a predicted model, not a curated record.